AUACGGAGGGUGCAAGCGUUACUCGGAAUCACUGGGCGUAAAGCGCGCGCAGGCGGCUAUUUAAGUUGGAUGUGAAAGCCUACGGCUCAACCGUAGAACUGCAUCCAAAACUAUUUAGCUAGAGUGUGGGAGAGGAAGAUGGAAUUAGUUGUGUAGGGGUAAAAUCCGUAGAGAUAACUAGGAAUACCAAAAGCGAAGGCAAUCUUCUGGAACACUACUGACGCUGAGGCGCGAAGGCGUGGGGAGCAAACAGGAUUAGAAACCCGAGUAGUCC
Molecule: ribosomal RNA, 274 nt
Filed under: uncultured bacterium
Lineage: Bacteria
Description: partial 16S ribosomal RNA
Rfam family: Bacterial small subunit ribosomal RNA
Source: RNAcentral